RNAcentral lists this transfer RNA (72 nucleotides) under Loxodonta africana (African savanna elephant). It matches the Rfam family "tRNA". Rfam says of the family: Transfer RNA (tRNA) molecules are approximately 80 nucleotides in length. Their secondary structure includes four short double-helical elements and three loops (D, anti-codon, and T loops). The record is from Rfam by way of RNAcentral. Lineage: Eukaryota; Metazoa; Chordata; Mammalia; Proboscidea; Elephantidae.
GCAGUGGUGGUUCAGUGGUAGAAUUCUUGCCCUUCCAUGUGGGAAACCAGGAUUCGAUUCCUGGCCAAUGCA